This 462-nucleotide ribosomal RNA is filed under the name uncultured bacterium. RNAcentral's name for it is "bacterial SSU rRNA". It matches the Rfam family "Bacterial small subunit ribosomal RNA", at positions 29 to 482 of the family's 1533-position model. The record is from RNAcentral.
AUUGAACGCUGGCGGAAUGCUUUACACAUGCAAGUCGAACGGCAGCACGGGUGCUUGCACCUGGUGGCGAGUGGCGAACGGGUGAGUAAUGCACCGGAACGUAUCCAAUAAUGGGGGAUAACGCACCGAAAGGUGUGCUAAUACCGCAUACGCCCUGAGGGGGAAAGCGGGGGAUCGUAAGACCUCGCGUUAAUGGAGCGGCCGAUGCCGGAUUAGCUAGUUGGUGAGGUAAAAGGCUCACCAAGGCGACGAUCCGUAGCUGGUCUGAGAGGACGACCAGCCACACUGGAACUGAGACACGGUCCAGACUCCUACGGGAGGCAGCAGUGGGGAAUUUUGGACAAUGGGCGCAAGCCUGAUCCAGCCAUUCCGCGUGAGUGAGGAAGGCCUCGGUUGUAAAGACUCUGUCGGCUGGGAAAACGGACGUAUCCGGGAAAGUUACGGUAGCGUGAUGGUACCAGC